CCUACGGGAGGCAGCAGUGGGGAAUAUUGGGCAAUGGAGGCAACUCUUACCCAGCAAUGCCGCGUGAAUGAAGAAGGUCUUCGGAUUGUAAAGUUCUUUAAUUGGGGACGAAAAAAAUGACGGUACCCAAGGAAUAAGCCCCGGCUAACUACGUGCCAGCAGCCGCGGUAAUACGUAGGGGGCAAGCGUUGUUCGGAUUGACUGGGCGUAAGGGGUGUGUAGGCGGUGUAGCAAGUUCGAAGUGAAAUCCCUAGAGCUUAACUCAGGUGCUGCUUCUAAAACUGCUUAACUGGAGUGCAGUAGAGGAAAGUGGAAUUCCAAGGGUGGCGGUGGAAGGGUUAGAUAUUAGGAGGACAUCAGUGGCGAAGGCGACUUUCUGGACUGUAACUGACGCUGAGGCACGAAAGUGUGGGGAGCAAACAGGAUUAGAUACCCUGGUAGUC
This 443-nucleotide ribosomal RNA is filed under the name uncultured bacterium. Its description in RNAcentral is "partial 16S ribosomal RNA". It matches the Rfam family "Bacterial small subunit ribosomal RNA", at positions 338 to 795 of the family's 1533-position model. The record is from RNAcentral.